Molecule: long non-coding RNA, 932 nt
Filed under: Homo sapiens (human)
Lineage: Eukaryota; Metazoa; Chordata; Mammalia; Primates; Hominidae
Description: HSALNT0406144
Source: RNAcentral
UCUGGCAUCCACCCUCUUAUUUGGUGCUGCAGACCUCUGAGAUGCAGUGGGCAGGUGAUAUCUCCAUUUUAUAGGUGUGGAGACAGGUUCCAAAUUGUUAAAUGACUCAUUCAUAGUCAAACAGCCAGUAACUGACAGAGCAGGACCAAACAGGUCUUCUAAUUUCAAAUGCCAUCCUUUUUUCCACAACAGCAUGCUGUCUUCCUAGAAGAGGUGGGGUCUUACACUAUAUUGACUAGGCUGGGAGGACAAGAACCUGGAACCCACCAAAUGGUGGGUGCGCAAAGAGCUGUAACACUGUAGCUCUCCCUCCUGCUCGCCGAGCAAAGGGGGAGAAAAAGCCACUGUGCACCACAUGCCCCCAUUCACCAAGCUGCGGGCGACGGGACUGGAGGAGCUGUGACACAAAUGAGCUGUAAUACGCCCCCCAUUCACCGUGCUGCAGGCAGCAGGAAUGAGAGAGAGCUGCGUCAUUUCUUGGGGACUCAAACCUUGGGACAUCCCAGGCAAGAGCUAUAACACCCCUUGGGGCUCCAUGGUUGCUGGCAUGUUCGUGUUUUCAGCCGCUACCGCGUUCCCCUCAUCUAAAAGCUGGUGCCUAACAUGAAAAUGGUCCACAGCAUGCCUGGCUCAGCUGCAGGCUGAGCACGGAAUCCUUGCGCAUGCACAGGAUCUGGGUUGGUAGCCUGAGCUGAGCGCAGCCUGCCAGGGCGAGCUGGUGGAGUGAGCCCAGGAGUAAGCCCAGAGCCAAGCCAAGCCUGGACAGAGUUGCUGCCAGCCGUGGAUGUUUCCAGGUGUCGAAGCGGCAUCAAAAUCAUCCUGUGUCACUAACAUCAUUGCAAUGCUACUUCUUUAUGCACCAAAAUGUUUUGACUUAUUGCUUUGUUUUCUUUUAACCAUUUUGUACAGAAAUCAUUCUCAAAAGCUAAACA